CAGAGUCCCUUACUCUUGUUGAGCUCGGGUGUUUUUAGGAGCAAGGGGUCAGCUGGCACUCGGGAAGGACGAGCGUGGCCUGCAGCUUGGAUGCUGUGCUCCUCUGAAGGGCUGUGGCACUAAAACCCCCAGCUCAUGGCAUUUGCUGCAAUCUAAAAUGCAGUUCCCCACAUGCUGCUUAAGGUCACAAUCAGCAGACAGCAAGAAUCACAACUCCUUUAGUGAUGAUUCCCUCUCCAUGCCCUACCUAUCUUGGUAAUAAGCCUCUGUCCUGGAUUGUGGUGUGUAUCUGUGAUUCAAGGCUGCUGUUUACUUCUUCGUUAAUUGUCAGCAUCCUGUAUUUGUGCAGCAUUACCAACAUCUAUUUGGAUGGCGUUACAGAAUAGGGUGCAGCGUGGCCGGUAACACUUCAAAGCCUAUUUUCUCUUAGCCAUCACAAAAACACUGGUAGAUUGAGAACUGCCUGAACAGCGUAUCUCAGGGUUGUGAUCAGUGACACAGGGUCCACUUGGAGGCCUGUCACUAGUGGUGUCCCACUGGGGUCAUUACUAGGCCCAGUUUUGUUUAACUUGUUCACCCAUGACUGGAUGAAGGGGCAGAGGCCUCCUCAGGAAGUUCACUCGUGACACAAAGCUGGGAGGAGGGGCUGAUUCCUCAGAGAGAUGUGUAGCCCUUCAGCAGGAGCUCAACCGGGCAGAAAGGAAUAGUCUGAAAAUCAGCAAAGGCAAGUGCAGGGUCCUGCUCCUGGUAAAGAACAACCCCAGGCACCAGCACAGGCUGGGGGCUGGCCUGCUGGAAAGCACUCUGUAUAAAAGGACCUAGGGGUCCUGGUGGACAACAAGCCAUCCACGAGCCAGCUGUGCCCUGGUGGCCGAGAAGGCCAAUGGUAUCCUGGGCUGAAUUAGGAAAAGCAUUGCCAGAAGGUGGAAGUGAUCCUGCCACUAUGCUCAUCCCUCGUGAAGUGUGUCUGGAGUGCUGUGUCCAAUUCUGGGCUCCUCAGGGCAAGAGAGACAUGGAGCUCCUGGAGUGAGUCCAGUAGACAGUGACAAGGAUGAUGAGGGGACUGGAAAACCUCUCUUAAGAGAAAAGACUGAUGCAGCUGAGCCAGUUUAGCCUGGAUUGAGAGGGACCUUAUCAAUGUAUGUGAUUAACUGAAAGGACCAUAUCAAAAGGAUGGAACCAGACUCUUCUCAGUGCUGCCAAGCAAUAAGACAAGAGGCAAUGGGCACAAGAAGUUUCACCUGACUAUAAGUGGGUUACAGAGCACUGGAGCAGGCCGUUCAGAGAGGUUCUUGAGCCUCCCUCAUUGGAGAUAUUCAAGAACAAUCUGGACAUAAUCCAGAGCACAGUGCUCUAGGGAAACCUGCUUAAGCAGGGAGGUUGGACCUGAUGACCUCCAGUGGCCCUUCCAACCUUAAAUCACAGCAUCUCAGAAUCAGUAAAGUGUUGACAUGUAGGAAUCAAAAGACUUUGACUCAGAAAUGUGGGACGACCAGUAAGGACAUGCCUAAAUACAGCAAAAUUCCAGGCAGCAGCAACUUCCCUCAGCAGUGAGGAAGAAAGCAGUGGAGUUGGUAGCAGGAUGCUCAACACUGAUCCCCUUUUCAGAUGCACCAGCAGCUGUGUUUGGGGCUUGUUUUCCCUAAAUGCUGUCUGUGUGUUGUGCAAAGCCCUUUAAUAGAGGAGAACAGAGCAGAAUCUGUUAGCCAGGAGAGCGGCUCUGCAGAAAAGCAGAUCCAAAAAAGCCUUGGGUCUAGCUCCUUUCUGUGCAGAUGCACAUUUAAGCAGAGACAAAAGGAAAGACCAAGCAGAGGCUGAAGACACAGGAAAAGCAAUUUUCAUCAUCUGAUGUAGGGAGUAGAGAGAAAAGCUGUCAGAUCCAAAUUUCCAGUGUCAAUCCCUGGAAACAGAAAACUCCCAAGCUUGGUGUUCUGGACUGAGAAGAGCUUUUGACAUCUAGCAAGAGACAGAAUUCAUCUAGACUUUCCUGUCCAGUUUGAAGUGUCAUUUCUGUCUCCUCCACCUCUGCCCAGCCCAGCACUGAUAUCAGCAUCUGUGCAGAGCAUACCAUAAGUCCCUAUAUCUGAUAGACACCAGGAAAACUGUACAGCUGUGGCAGCUAUUUACUGCGGUCCAUAACAAAUGUAUUGUGUGUGUCUCCUAGGAUGGAAGGUGAGAGUUGACAGAGUUUCCAUGUCCAGGAGCUCAGCAGCCAAGCUGCAAUUUUGGAGGAGCCAUCAGAGCACCCAAAAGAGCCCCUAUUCUGACUCUCCUGCAGGAUCCAGGUUACAACAUGAGCAUGUCUCCUGCAUUCCCCAGCUCUCAGUUUGCUUCAGGGGGGGUGAGAAGGCAGCAGUGAGCAUUACAGCAGCCUUGUCUGGACUCUGAGAUGAGCACCAGUUCUGGGGCAGUGGCAGGGAUUUCCAUACAAAGGUAUGCUGAAAAUUUGCUAGAAAAGUUCAUUUUCAAGUUCCAUUAAAAAAAAAAAAAAUCUGAAAAUUUUGGGGUAGUGAUUAAUACCAGCUCCAGACUGGUGCAGGCUGAUUGUUUGUGGUUUUUUCCUAUUUGUUUUAGGUUGUUUACUCAACACACUCAUUUGUUUACCUUGUUGUUUUGCACUCCUUGCAUCUGUUCAUUUGUUUAAGUAUGAGCCUCUGUGUUUUCCACUUCUGUUUCCUCUCAUUACAGUGGAGCAUCUGCUUAGCACUUAAAAAAAUAAAUCAAAAAUGAUCUUA
Passer domesticus (house sparrow) is the source of this 2735-nucleotide long non-coding RNA. RefSeq lists it as uncharacterized. Lineage: Eukaryota; Metazoa; Chordata; Aves; Passeriformes; Passeridae. The transcript has 2 exons. The record is from RefSeq and is a predicted model, not a curated record.